UACGUAGGGUGCAAGCGUUAUCCGGAAUUAUUGGGCGUAAAGCGCGCGCAGGCGGUUUCUUAAGUCUGAUGUGAAAGCCCACGGCUCAACCGUGGAGGGUCAUUGGAAACUGGGGAACUUGAGUGCAGAAGAGAAAAGCGGAAUUCCACGUGUAGCGGUGAAAUGCGUAGAGAUGUGGAGGAACACCAGUGGCGAAGGCGGCCCGCUGGGCAGUGGCUGACGCUGAGGCGCGACAGCGUGGGGAGCAAACAGG
This 253-nucleotide ribosomal RNA is filed under the name uncultured bacterium. RNAcentral describes it as "partial 16S ribosomal RNA". It matches the Rfam family "Bacterial small subunit ribosomal RNA", at positions 524 to 776 of the family's 1533-position model. The record is from RNAcentral.